AAAUCCUGAACGGACUUAUCGAAGUCGACAAAGGACUCAAGGCCUUGAGACUUGCCGAAGAAAGGCCGGAAACAACUGCAAAAGACCCCAUUGGAGGACCUUUGGUCCAGUUAUCUUUGAAAUGAGGCUCCAAUCAUCGAACCCAAAGGUCGGGAGAGGUGAGAGUGAAUGAAUAAGGGAGUUUCAGGUCCAGGACGAUCAUGAACGCUGGUGAAAAGGGCCGGAGACUACUAGGCUUUUCAGAGAACUUAGAGAGCUUUAGGGAUUCAAA
Molecule: long non-coding RNA, 271 nt
Filed under: Nicotiana benthamiana
Lineage: Eukaryota; Viridiplantae; Streptophyta; Magnoliopsida; Solanales; Solanaceae
Description: long non-coding RNA (NBEN_LNC027309)
Source: RNAcentral